This 1007-nucleotide ribosomal RNA is filed under the name Priestia flexa. RNAcentral describes it as "bacterial SSU rRNA". It matches the Rfam family "Bacterial small subunit ribosomal RNA", at positions 52 to 1036 of the family's 1533-position model. The record is from RNAcentral. Lineage: Bacteria; Bacillati; Bacillota; Bacilli; Caryophanales; Bacillaceae.
UAUAAUGCAAGUCGAGCGAGCUGAUUAGAAGCUUGCUUCUAUGACGUUAGCGGCGGACGGGUGAGUAACACGUGGGCAACCUGCCUGUAAGACUGGGAUAACUCCGGGAAACCGGAGCUAAUACCGGAUAACAUUUUCUCUUGCAUAAGAGAAAAUUGAAAGAUGGUUUCGGCUAUCACUUACAGAUGGGCCCGCGGUGCAUUAGCUAGUUGGUGAGGUAACGGCUCACCAAGGCAACGAUGCAUAGCCGACCUGAGAGGGUGAUCGGCCACACUGGGACUGAGACACGGCCCAGACUCCUACGGGAGGCAGCAGUAGGGAAUCUUCCGCAAUGGACGAAAGUCUGACGGAGCAACGCCGCGUGAGUGAUGAAGGCUUUCGGGUCGUAAAACUCUGUUGUUAGGGAAGAACAAGUACAAGAGUAACUGCUUGUACCUUGACGGUACCUAACCAGAAAGCCACGGCUAACUACGUGCCAGCAGCCGCGGUAUUACGUAGGUGGCAAGCGUUAUCCGGAAUUAUUGGGCGUAAAGCGCGCGCAGGCGGUUUCUUAAGUCUGAUGUGAAAGCCCACGGCUCAACCGUGGAGGGUCAUUGGAAACUGGGGAACUUGAGUGCAGAAGAGAAAAGCGGAAUUCCACGUGUAGCGGUGAAAUGCGUAGAGAUGUGGAGGAACACCAGUGGCGAAGGCGGCUUUUUGGUCUGUAACUGACGCUGAGGCGCGAAAGCGUGGGGAGCAAACAGGAUUAGAUACCCUGGUAGUCCACGCCGUACACGAUGAGUGCUAAGUGUUAGAGGGUUUCCGCCCUUUAGUGCUGCAGCUAACGCAUUAAGCACUCCGCCUGGGGAGUACGGUCGCAAGACUGAAACUCAAAGGAAUUGACGGGGGCCCGCACAAGCGGUGGAGCAUGUGGUUUAAUUCGAAGCCACGCGAAGAACCUUACCAGGUCUUGACAUCCUCUGACAACUCUAGAGAUAGAGCGUUCCCCUUCGGGGGACAGAGUGACA